CCUACGGGGGGCAGCAGUGAGGAAUAUUGGUCAAUGGGCGCGAGCCUGAACCAGCCAAGUCGCGUGAGGGAGGACGGCCCUACGGGUUGUAAACCUCUUUUGCCGGGGAGCAACGGGCGUCACGUGUGGCGCCACUGAGAGUACCCGGAGAAAAAGCAUCGGCUAACUCCGUGCCAGCAGCCGCGGUAAUACGGAGGAUGCGAGCGUUGUCCGGAAUCAUUGGGCGUAAAGAGUUCGUAGGCGGCACGUAAAGUCUGGUGUUAAAGGCAGAGGCUCAACUUCUGUACGGCACUGGAUACUUGCGAGCUAGAAUGCGGUAGAGGUAAAGGGAAUUCCUGGUGUAGCGGUGAAAUGCUUAGAUAUCAGGAGGAACAUCGGUGGCGUAAGCGCUUUACUGGGCCGUAAUUGACGCUGAGGAACGAAAGCCAGGGUAGCAAAUGGGAUUAGAUACCCUUGUAGUC
This 461-nucleotide ribosomal RNA is filed under the name uncultured bacterium. RNAcentral describes it as "partial 16S ribosomal RNA". It matches the Rfam family "Bacterial small subunit ribosomal RNA", at positions 338 to 795 of the family's 1533-position model. The record is from RNAcentral.